Molecule: RNA transcript, 1450 nt
Organism: Toxorhynchites rutilus septentrionalis
Lineage: Eukaryota; Metazoa; Arthropoda; Insecta; Diptera; Culicidae
Gene name: zinc finger protein 135-like
Exons: 13
Source: RefSeq, a predicted model, not a curated record
UUAUUUAAUUCUGUUUGGCCAAAACUGUCAAAAGGAAACAACUCGAGAAAAACAUAGAAUAGAUUGCAGCAGAAAUAUUAAGAAAUCGUAAACAAUCAGACAAUUUUUUGCUCUAAAUUCAUUUGAAUACAUAAAAUUCUAGAGAAGUGAGAUGGCGUUUGUUAGCAACAACCUGGACGAACCGACUCACAUCAAAAUGGAGCCAGAAUUGAUUAUUGAUGACCACGAACUGUCGGAUAAUGAUAACACUUCCGAGACAGAUUCAACAGCGGACUUUGAGCCAAUUGAACAGGAAGCCGAAAUGCAAAUCAAGGGUGAACAAGGAGAGGUAUUCGGCAUCAGUGAAACGGACGGAGAGAACGACAAUUCGAAUGAUGGAGGAUUGAUGAAAAGUUCCAUAAGGUUACACUCGGGCGAACGUUCCUAUUCUUGUUUACUUUGUUCUAAACCGUUUAAGAGUCGUGAUGCGCUCAAAAUACAUAUGCUAACUCAUACUGGUGAACGUCCCCAUCUUUGUCCACAUUGUCCGAAGGCGUUUAGGCAUGUUUCAGUGCUCCAAGUACACGUUCGAACUCAUACGGGUGAACGUCCCUAUGAUUGCCCACAUUGUCCGAAAGCGUUUAAACAGCAUAUAGCGCUUAGAAUGCACAUUUUGACUCAUACGGGUGAGCGUCCCUAUUCAUGUCCACAUUGUCCGAAAGCGUUUAAGCAUCCUUCAGCACUCAAAAAUCACAUUGGAACUCAUACGGAUGACCAUCCCCAUCUUUGUCCAGACUGUCCGAAAGCGUUUAUGUCACAUGCAGCGCUCAUAAUUCACAUUCGAACUCAUACGGGUGAAUGUCCCUAUUCUUGUCCACAUUGUCUGAAACCGUUUCACGAUCUUAGAGCACUCAAAAGACACAUUCGAACUCAUACGGAUGAACGUCCCUAUUCUUGUCCACACUGUUCAAACGCGUUCAAGGAAUCAGGUGCACUCAAAAAUCACAUUCGAAUUCAUACGGGGGAACGUCCCUAUCCUUGUCCUCAUUGUUCGAACGCGUUUAAGCAUUCAUAUGCACUCAAAAAUCACAUUCGAAUUCAUACGGGUGAACGUCCUUAUCAUUGUCCCCAUUGUCCGAAAGCGUUUUCGAAUUCUUACUCGCGCAAGCAGCACAUUCGAAUUCAUACGCGUGAAGGUGUAUGUACAACCCUAGGAAAACGCCUGAAUACACAUGGUAAAGAUACGAGCGGUCCGACGCAGGAAUCACAGGUGACCGUAAAGGAAGAGACAAAUGAAUGCUGAUGGAUGGAUGGAUUGUAUAGAUGACCAAUCGAUUUGUCGUUGAAAGCGUUUGGAAAAUAAAGGCACUUCGUAUUUUAAACACGAUGCGAAUAACGCGAAAAACGAACUGGAAAAACCACACGACGAUACCCAAGUUGAAUUACCACUGGUGGGGUCCAACCUUGGAUC